AUUGCUUCUCAGCAUUUUGGCUAAGAUCAAAUAUGGUAUCUGUCCUAAUCAGUUUAAAAUAAGAUUACAAAUGAAACCAAUUAUAUUAAAACACAGUUACCAUUUUUUUUUUUUUUUUUGUCUUUUUAGGGCUGUACCCACAGCAUAUGGAGGUUCCCAGGCUAGGGGUUGAAUCGGAGCUGUAGCCUACACCAC
RNAcentral lists this small nuclear RNA (195 nucleotides) under Sus scrofa (pig). RNAcentral's name for it is "U2 spliceosomal RNA (ENSSSCG00060013934.1)". It matches the Rfam family "U2 spliceosomal RNA". Rfam says of the family: U2 is a small nuclear RNA (snRNA) component of the spliceosome (involved in pre-mRNA splicing). Lineage: Eukaryota; Metazoa; Chordata; Mammalia; Artiodactyla; Suidae. The record is from RNAcentral.